GAAAACUGUGGGAAUAUUUAAAUUUUACUGAAGGAACAAUAAUGAUGAGAUUUGUAACUGUCAACUAUUAAAUACAUUGAUUUUUGAGACAAAUAUUUCUUAUGUCAGCCUGUUAUGAGAUCUCUUACUCUGCUCAAAUUCAUCACUGAAAGAUUUAAUUUUAGUUACCUUUUGUUGAUUUAAAAAUAAUUGCAUUUGACUGAUAAGACAAAUUGAGUUAUUGAACUAUUAAAUGCACAUUUUAGUAUAAAUGCAGAAAUCCCAAAUAAAAUGCUAACAUACUGAAUUCAGUAAUUAAAAGAACCCACUGCAGCUGGGUGCAAUGGCUCAUGCCUGUGAUCCACCCACCUCGGCGUCCCAAAGUGCUGGGAUUACAGGUGUGAGCCACUGCACCCGGCCUAUUUAUAUCUUUUAUUUCUUAGCAAAGUUUAGAGUUUCUUUUAUCUCCAUGCAUUUCCUAUGUAUGCUUACAUUUUUGUGUAGUUGGAAAUGGAUUUUUUCUUUCCAAUUAUGUACUUCUUUAUAGUUUUUAAAAGUGGCUUUAUAUAGGUGAUACUGAUAGCUAUAUAUUUAUGUUGUAAAGGACCAAUUUAAGUUGUUCAUUAAAGCCAAUAAUUUUUCAGCUGAUUCUCAUGAGGUGUAUAUAAGCAAUCUGAUUUGCGUUCUUCUGAAACUGCUUAUCAAAUAGAUGGCCAUUAGCCCCUAAAUGGCAAAAUCCACUGGACAGUUUUCUGUAUUGUACUCAGUAAGGUCUGACAUAUUUUGCAUGGUUGACCACUCCUUCGUUCUUAAAAUAGUCUUUUUUUUAUUGCCUUCAGUGAAACAUGCUCUUGGUUUUCCUCCUGUCUCAUUUGCUAUUCUGUCACAUUUCUGUUUGCUGUUCUUCCUCUCACUUUUCUUCAAAUAUUGGUGUACUUUUUUUUCUUUUCUAGACUCCAUUUUUGUCUAACCACACUCUCCCUAGAUGAUUUUAUCAAAUUCCAUGGAUUUAAAUAUAUUUGUAAGCACAUUCAGAAUUAGUUUCAUUUCAACUUUGUGUUUUGUAUCUGAAUGAUAAGCAUCAGCAUUAUAACUAAACAGACUGUGUGAUUAAGAUUAUGGACAAUUUUUCCCUCUAGUUAUCUAAUUUUCAUAAUUACCUCUAGAAUGUGAGAACAUUAUUUUUAUGAUCAGAAAGUAUUUUAAGAAACUAGCUGAGUGGACUCUAAUAUGGAACCAUCAACAUGUAUCAAAUUCCACUUAAUUAUAAGCAAAUUCAUUGUGAAGUUAUAUUAUAUUUGAAAAGGCAUUUCAUGAUUACAUUUGUUAUUUAAGAAAAUGUUAUUUAAAGAAAUUUACAUAAGUUUCAUUAUACAUGUAUUUUAGCUUACUCAUCUCUGGAAAUGGAAAACUUAGAUACUAGGCAAGAGGGCUUUAAAUUUUUUUUUUAUGAGAUAUUUUAAUAAACCAGUACUUAGGUCUUAAUAUUUGUGUUUUUCAAAAAUUUAUGUUAAAAUCCUAACCCCCAUGACUAUAGUAUUAGAAGAUAGGGCCUUUUGGAAGGUGAUUGGAGAGGGGCCCCACCUUCAGGAAUGGAAUUCGUGCCCUUAUAAAAUAAACCCAAGGUAACUUUUUCAUCCCUUACACCCUGUGAGAACAUGGUGAGAAGGCACCAUCUAUGAGCCAGAGAAUAGAUCCUCACCAAACACUGAAUCUGCUGGUACCUUGAUCUUGGACUUUCUAGCCUCCAGAACUGUGAGAAACAAAUUUCUGCUGUUUAUAAGCUGUCCAGUUAAUGGAAUUUUGUUAUUGUAGCCCAAAUAUGCUAAGACAACCAAUAUAGUUAAAAUUACUAUGCCUGUUCUACUUUAUAAAGUUCUAGUGUAUGUUGUAUAAUGCUUACAUUAAAUAAAAGGUAAGGUUAACUUACAUAAAACAUGUUUAGAUAGGAUAAUUGUAAAAAUUAUUUAUUAUUAGAGAAAUUGGUAAAAUUGUGGCUUUGGAUAGAGGCAGGAGAAAGAAAAGAGCAAGGCACUGGUGAGAAAAAUUGCUAUGGAGAAUAUUGAGAAUAGAUACAAGGAGACCUACAGGUUUACAACAUUAAUAUUGGCCAAUACUUGAUUGGACAGUUUGAAUUUUUCGACCUGAAAGGCCUUUGUUCCCCAAAGUCUGUAAGGAGAUUUUGUAAAAACAAACAACAAUAGCAAUAAAAAAUAAUCAGGGAAGAUUAAGAGAUUUCAUAAGGAGCCAGAAUUUAUAGGUAAUAUUUAAAUGGUAUAGAUACAAUUACUAUUUUGGUGAAUAAUAAGCACAUGGUAGACUGAAAUUUGGCAACAGCUACUGUGCAAAUAAGCAUAUCUGUGAUUAUGGCUUAUAUCGGGUUGGGGACCCUUGUUGUAAGCCAUUCUUUUUAGUACAGGUUAAUCUCCAUUUCUCAAUCACAGUUCUGUUCUUUUCAUCUGUGGGAAAUAAUGAAUUCUGUUUCAGAUUUUGAUUGUCUUUUGUAUUCUUUGUCAUCCAACAGAAUUGCACAUUUCACUUUGAAAAAUUUUUAUAACUAGCGUUUGACACUUGAAACUGGCUUUUGAGUCUUCUAUAAUAGUUUGUGCAAAAGUCUGAGGUUUAAUGUUAUGAUGGCCUUAUUCAUACUGUAGAAAUAUAUACUGCAGCAAUAUGCACCCAAAUGGUCAGUAAGCUUUUUAAAUGAACUAGCUAGAUUUUUAGUUUUGAUUUUAAUUCUUGGUUUGAAUUACUGAAAGCUAUCUUGACCUUAGGAAAAUGAAAGCUUACAUGAGGUUUAGCCACUUAAAACAAAGUAUUUCUUUGUGUCUCCAGUUCAUGUGAAACCUGACUUUUAUUUACAAUAUUUAUGUUAUGAGCACUUUUAUUAGGAUCUUUUGAAGCCUUUCAAGAGUUUUCUUUCAGUUAUUAUUAAUAGUACUAAUAAAGAAGGUGAGCAGGAUUUAAAGCUGAAAGGAGCAUCAGAGAUAAUUGAGCUUUGUUUAUGCCAUUCAUUGUUAUCCUAUGCAAUGUCUUUUGUUUGUUUUUUAAUUAAUUGCCGAUAUUUAAGAAGAGGGUCAUAGAACACUCAUUAUUCCAGAUUCUUUUGAAAAACUGGAAGAUCUGGCAACUACAGGUUUAUGUUCUUGCAUGUUAACAAUAUACAGGGGCUGGAAUUACCUGCUCUGAGUGCCUUUAGAUGUGCAUACUCUCUCCGAUUUGCCACAGUUCCCACCAAUUCUCAUUUCUCCUCUUUACUUGGCCCACAUCAUUGGGCCUAUCUCAUUAAUUUCUAUUAAAUAUUUUGUUACUGAGGCCAUUAGUUUAUGACCCCUGAGGCCAAGACAGCUGUUAAGAACUUGCAUUAUUGGUGGCAAAAUUAUACCUUUAUGACUACUUACUAGGUUUUAGAAAUGUCACUUUCCCAACGAGGUAUUAUGGUAAUCAUAAGUUCAAAAGAAUUGAAGUUCAUUUGAGAUAAUUAAAUCAAAACCUCUAGUCUGAGUUGGAGGGUGAUAAAGUUAUCUGGCGAAAUAUAUGAACUUCUGUUACCUUCCUCUUAUGCUAAAUGAAUGGUAAAAUGAAUCCUGAUUUGUUUAGGCAGUUUACUUAUGAAGUUGGGAGAAUUUUUUUUUUUGUUUAAAGGACUGAGUCUGGCUCUGUUGCCUAGGCUCAAGUACUGUGGAUCUUCGCUCACUGCAGCCUCCACCUCUUGGAUUCAAGCAGUUCUCCUGCCUCAGCCUCCCGAGUAGCUGGGAGCCACCAUGCCUGGCUAAUUUUUGUAUUUUUAUUAAAUGAGUUUUCACCACGUUGGCCAGGCUGGUCUUGAACUCCUGAUGACCUCAAGUGAGCUGCCUACCUGGCCUCCCAAAGUGCUGGGAUUAUAGGUGUGAGCCACUGUGCCCAGCCUGAGGUUGGGAGAAAUUUUGUCUAUUUCUCUAGAACCAAAAUUGGCAACCAGAGAGUAUUUGGAUGUUACACAAAAUAUUUAGUUUCCCUUUCUAGCCUAAAUUGGGUUGUUUAUAGCACCCCUCUCUCCAUUUGAGAAAAAUGGUUAGGAUGCUUGUGCAGGGAUGAGGCCUUAUUAGAACAGAGAAAGUGCCCAAAUAGUGGUUCAAACACAGGCUGGCUAAUAAGCUGUGAGGUGACUUACCAGAAAACAACAACAACGAAAACCCUUGAACUUCUGCUUUCAACUUCUACUUUAUGCUAGAUUAUUUGGUCCAAUCUUCCUGGUCUAACACCUGACUACAUAUAACAACAAACAUCUGCUUGAAUGUGUUGGAAAGGUGAUGAUUAAUUGCCAGGCUGAUACAUUAAAUAAAAUGGAAGUCCCAAAAGUUGAA
This 4325-nucleotide small RNA is filed under the name Pongo abelii (Sumatran orangutan). RNAcentral describes it as "processed transcript". The record is from RNAcentral. Lineage: Eukaryota; Metazoa; Chordata; Mammalia; Primates; Hominidae.